GAUGAACGCUGGCGGCGUGCUUAACACAUGCAAGUCGAACGGAAAGGCCCUGCUUUUGUGGGGUGCUCGAUUGGCGAACGCGUGAGUAACACGUGUGUAACCUGCCCUUGACUUUGGGAUAACUUCAGGAAACUGGGGCUAAUACCGGAUAGGAGCUCCUGCUGCAUGGUGGUGGUUGGAAAGUUUCGGCGGUUGGGGCUGGAAUCGCUGCUUAUCAGCUUGUUUGGGGGGUAGUGGUUUACCAAGGCUUUGACGGGUAGCCGGCCUGGGAGGGGGACCGGCGACAUUGGGACUGAGAUACGGCCCAGACUCCUACGGGAGGCAGCAGUGGGGAAUAUUGCACAAUGGGCGGAAGCCAGAUGCAGCAACGCCGCGUGCGGGAUGACGGCCUUCGGGUUGUAAACCGCUUUCGCCGGUGACGAAGCGUGAGUGACGGUAAUGGGUAAAGAAGCACCGGCUAACUACGUG
This 468-nucleotide ribosomal RNA is filed under the name uncultured bacterium. Its description in RNAcentral is "partial 16S ribosomal RNA". It matches the Rfam family "Bacterial small subunit ribosomal RNA", at positions 28 to 507 of the family's 1533-position model. The record is from RNAcentral.